RNAcentral lists this ribosomal RNA (209 nucleotides) under Escherichia coli. Its description in RNAcentral is "partial 23S ribosomal RNA". It matches the Rfam family "Bacterial large subunit ribosomal RNA", at positions 2722 to 2925 of the family's 2925-position model. Lineage: Bacteria; Pseudomonadati; Pseudomonadota; Gammaproteobacteria; Enterobacterales; Enterobacteriaceae. The record is from RNAcentral.
UGUCAUGCCAAUGGCACUGCCCGGUAGCUAAAUGCGGAAGAGAUAAGUGCUGAAAGCAUCUAAGCACGAAACUUGCCCCGAGAUGAGUUCUCCCUGACUCCCUGAGAGUCCUGAAGGAACGUUGAAGACGACGACGUUGAUAGGCCGGGUGUGUAAGCGCAGCGAUGCGUUGAGCUAACCGGUACUAAUGAACCGUGAGGCUUAACCUU